AGGGCUAAGAAUGCAGAGAGGAUCAAGAGCACGGGCGGCCAGGUGGGCCUGGGUCCUUGAGUGUAACUCGCUUCAGACACUGCAAUGACCUGGCUGUGCUCCCGGUCAGGUGUCAGGAGGGAGGCUUUCCCCACGAGGCCUGCCAGCAGACGGAAGUGGACAACUCCAGGUGAUUAGACUGGAAGAAUCCUUAAGGAUUCCUUGAGGCACAACUUCACACCGUGCUGCAUAGCCAGUGAUUACUGGGAAGCCAUAAGAAGAGAAAACCAGACGAGGAGCAAACACACGGUUUUUUGAAGAUGAAGACCAUCAUUCAUUUUGUUUUUCCUGGCCCUGGCACUGUGUUUGGCGUAUGGGAAGGACUGAAUAAAUUUUCCCAAUUAACGUAUGGAGAGAGAAAUAAAAUUUGACAAAGUGUAUGCCUGCAUUUUCAAGGAAGAUCAGCCCUGAGCUAACCACCGCCAAUCCUCCUCUUUUUGCUGUGGAAGAGUGGCCCUGAGCUAACAUCCACGCCCAUCUUCCUCUACUUUAUGCGUGGGACACACAGCAUGGCUUUUUGCCAAGUGGUGCCAUGUCUGCACCCGGGAUCCAAACCGGCAAACCCCGGGCCGCCAAGAAGUGAAACAUGUGAACACAACCGCUGUGCCACCAGUCCGGCCCCACUCGCACUUUUUGUCUGCUCUCAGAAAUUAAUGUGUCUUGCAGCUCACCAUAAAGAGUUCCACUUUGAGGAAAUUGAGGGAUUUUUGUCUCUACCACUCUUUGGUACUUCUAUAGAUAAUCAUGAUUUUUAUAUUAUAAUGACUUUUUUUCCAGUGUUCCGUGGAAGUAA
Molecule: long non-coding RNA, 832 nt
Filed under: Equus asinus (donkey)
Lineage: Eukaryota; Metazoa; Chordata; Mammalia; Perissodactyla; Equidae
Description: lncRNA (ENSEASG00005036839.1)
Source: RNAcentral